GACGAACGCUGGCGGCGUGCUUAACACAUGCAAGUCGAACGAAGAGCGAUGGAAGCUUGCUUCUAUCAAUCUUAGUGGCGAACGGGUGAGUAACGCGUAAUCAACCUGCCCUUCAGAGGGGGACAACAGUUGGAAACGACUGCUAAUACCGCAUACGAUCUAAUCUCGGCAUCGAGGAUAGAUGAAAGGUGGCCUCUACAUGUAAGCUAUCACUGAAGGAGGGGAUUGCGUCUGAUUAGCUAGUUGGAGGGGUAACGGCCCACCAAGGCGAUGAUCAGUAGCCGGUCUGAGAGGAUGAACGGCCACAUUGGGACUGAGACACGGCCCAGACUCCUACGGGAGGCAGCAGUGGGGAAUCUUCCGCAAUGGACGAAAGUCUGACGGAGCAACGCCGCGUGAGUGAUGACGGCCUUCGGGUUGUAAAGCUCUGUUAAUCGGGACGAAAGGCCUUCUUGCGAAUAGGGAGUAGGAUUGACGGUACCGGAAUAGAAAGCCACGGCUAACUACGUG
This 510-nucleotide ribosomal RNA is filed under the name uncultured bacterium. RNAcentral describes it as "partial 16S ribosomal RNA". It matches the Rfam family "Bacterial small subunit ribosomal RNA", at positions 28 to 507 of the family's 1533-position model. The record is from RNAcentral.